AUCCAGCUGACGAGUCCCAAAUAGGAAAAGAACACGCGUCCUGGAU
This 46-nucleotide non-coding RNA is filed under the name Schistosoma margrebowiei. Lineage: Eukaryota; Metazoa; Platyhelminthes; Trematoda; Strigeidida; Schistosomatidae. The record is from RNAcentral.